Long non-coding RNA from Nothobranchius furzeri (turquoise killifish), 10230 nucleotides. RefSeq lists it as uncharacterized. The record is from RefSeq and is a predicted model, not a curated record. Lineage: Eukaryota; Metazoa; Chordata; Actinopteri; Cyprinodontiformes; Nothobranchiidae.
UAUAUUUAAAAUUAGCAAAAAUAAGCAAUUACGAUUUAAAAGGAAAAAACGUUAAGAAAGAGAGUGAAUAGGGAAGAGGGAAAUCAGUGGAUCCUGAGGAAGGUGGAAUAGGUGGGGAGAGCAGAAUAAAGAGAGAGUGGUGAAGAAGGUCAUACAAAAGCCAGCUUGAACAAGUGAGUCUUCAGCUGCUUUUUAAAGGAGAGCACUGAGUCCACUGAUCUCAGGCUCAGAGGGAGAGAGUUCCAGAGUCUGGGGGCCACAGCAGCAAAUGAUCUGUCACCUUUGGUCACUUUUAAGGGGCCACAAUAAAAAAAAUGUAAAAAAAAAGAAAUAGUAAAAACAUGCGAUUAGGUAAACAAGAUAUAAAUCAACACUAUGUCAAAGAUUUCUUAAAUAACAUUUAUUCAAAUGUGUCAAAGUUGUAAACAUUUAUUACAGUAAUGUUUACUGAGGUGGGGAGCAACGAAGUACUAAUACUCCUGCAAAUGGGAUGGCUGGUACCCUCAACAGCACAGCUCAAGAUAAAGUUCAGCGCCUUCAACCUUCACGUUCUGCGGGCCUUUGAUAGAUGCUAUUCAAGGAGGACUUGAACAUUUAGGCCACUAAGGCGAACAGAGAAAAUAUUUUUAGAAAUUGAACCUCGUUCCGACCUCUUGAGACGACUUGCUCUUUGCUUCAUAACAAUAGUACACUCGUGCAGGUUUCAAAAGUAAAAGUACUCCUGGCUGGGAAAUGUUGCCGUGUUUAUUACGAUCGUUGUUUUAAUUUGGAACUAGCUUAUUUUGAGCGGAAUGAGAAAGUAGUGAAGCGGCUGUCACGUGACAGUUUUGAACCAAUGCGGUGCACGAUUUUAGUAAACACAUUCCAACACGGCAGACACCGUGGAUUUGGAAAGUUGCAGCAAGAGCAAGGACCAAGAAAAGUCACCGGAAAAUCCAACAAAAACGAGCAAACAGGUUCAAAAGUUGUGCUACAUGCAUAUAGCAUCCGUGAAGCAUGAGCAGGUACAGGAUUUUACAUUUACACGAUGGAGUCGUUACAGAGUAUCCCUCACAAAGUGGCUUUGAUUGCAUAGUGAGUCCAGCGUUAGCAGAAGUGUAUCAACGUUACCGUGAUAUAGAAUUUGAGAAUAUUCCCGACGAUGCUGCCUUUCACCCCACCUGCUAUAGACGUUUUAUUGAUAAGGGACGCGUAGAGCAAGCUGGGAAACGUAUUGCAUGUGAAGAGGAGACAACAUCAGAAAACAGAGGAACACAGAAAAGAAACUCCAAAGAAAAAACUCAGCCCUGCGCAUAAUCUGCAUAAAAGUUUAGAAGUAUGUAAAUGUUCAUGGAAAAUGCCAGAGAGCACAUUUGGUUCAGGCUGAAACAUCUUCUGCUGGCCAGUUGCAGAAAGCUGAUAAGAUCAAGCAAGAUGAAAGCAUUCUGUUACACAUCAAAGACAAAGAUUGUGUGUCUCUGGAGGUUCUGUACCACAAAUGCUGCUACAGACAGCACACCAUCUUCCUGUCUAGAUCCACAUCAACAACAGACAAACAACUAAAUGAGCCCAGAUUUCAUGUUGGGUACAAGACCUUCUGCGAGAGGAUCAUUCGCCAGAGACUGAUUGUGAACCAGGAAGCACUGAGAAUGAGCCAGCUGACGAGGUCAUUUUCAGAUCUGGCAAGACACAUUGAAGAGGAGGUUGAUCAAUGUCUUCCUUCAGCUGGUGUUUCAUGCCCCUAGCAAGCGCAACAUCUUUGAGCUGGUUUUGUGGAGACGCUGUCAACAGAAAAGGUGAUAGACAGGUUAGCUGUUCUGUCAGCCACAACAUUCUCUAGUGAGGUAUGCCAAACUGACAGUGAUGAGGAACACACCUCAAGAGGGUCGGAGAACUCCAGACGGCACAAGGACUCUUCAUGCGGCAGCAUUGUUAUUAAAGAGACUUCUGGCUGACUCUCCUGGUGUGACGUGCCCAUGGCCUCCCACAUCAGAUGAUCUAAACCUCACAGUAGCUAAAUCUGUUGUGCCACAUGAAUUAUUCAGUCUUGUUUCCGGGAUUGUGGGUGCUACUGAAGGCACAUCAGUAGACCAGUAUGUUGACACUGAAGAUGAUCUGCACCUAAAAAUCUUAUCAGUUUGUCAAGACCUUGUGUAUCUGGCAACAAAGGGACGUAAGCAGACACCUAAGUCAUUGUCUCUUGGUCUAACUGUGCAGCAUUUAACCGGUUCUUCACAAAUAGUGACACUUUUAAAUAGACUUGGACAUUGUGCAUCACAGUCAAGCCCCCACAAUGCAGGACAGAAAUUGAGGCCAAUGCGGAAGUGAAAUAAAUUAACCCUCAUCCGCUGGAGGCUGGUGUCAAAAGUGAGCAAAUCCUCAUUGACUCCCAUGUUAAAAAUACCAAUUUCACAGCAGAAAUAAACAUGUUUACAGCCUGGUUCCAAAACAUGUUUUAGGUUUAAUUGAUCUAGUUUAUACUCAUGACAACUCUGAGGGGGGUGCAUUUUUUUUCUCACUCUUCUGUUUAAGUGUAUUAAAAGCCUAAAAUUCUGUAUAAUUAAUGAGCAUCAGACCCACGUGACCGCAGAGCUAGCUCCGGGGAAAGGCCUCAGCCUUAAAACUGUUUCGUCAUUUUCAGUCUCUCAGUUUAGACCAUUAGUUGUAGCAUUUGUGCGUUCUGUUUUGGAUAUUUUUUGUGCAAUUGUUGGACAAAUUGACUUGCUGUGGCAUUAAUUGCACUAAUAGAGCGUCCAAGGAGUCUCCACUUCAUUUUUUUCGGUAAGUAAAAUUAUAUUUAUGUAUUUUAGGUCACUGCCGAGCUGAGCUUAGAUUUUAACAUGUACUGUUUAACCAUGACAUUUAAAUGUAAUAGGGUAAAACCCAGUGCAUUUAACAUAAUGCUGCACUUUAGAAAAUGGGUUGAAAUAUAACAUGUUGGUGGAGCUGGAUUCCGAUUAUCGGCUUGUGGAGCUCUCGGGAGGACUUUGUAUUUUCUCUAUAUACCGUAAAUCCUCUAAUACAGGCCCGGGCCUGUAUUUGACUCAAGCUCAUCAAGCUCCAGGCCUUUAUUGGAAGGAGGGCCAGUAUUAGAGGCAGGUCUCUAUUUCUAUUUGAGCAAAAUGAACUAAUGGUUCGCUGGAGUUUUUGACAAUUAAAAUUGCGCCCACAUUUUCAAAGUUAAACACAUUUCUAUUAACAACGAUAGUUUCUGCUUCAGCCAUCUCCCCCCUCCCCCUGCUUCAGCCCUCUCCCCCCUCCCCCUGCGCAGCGGCCGCAAACUCACUGAUGCGCCUGCAGCCUCUCGGAGUUCCUGCUGCUCUAAACAUUAAAAUAAUUAUUUCAUUUUCUGUUCCUCACUUCUGAUGACCUUCAGUGGUGUCUGUUUGUUGCAACCACCAGGUACAAAAACUAACUUGUUUUUAUUUGACUAUUUUUCUGUCCUGUCUGUUUAUUAUCUUCCUGCAUCUCCUCUCAAUCCUAAAGAAAAACUGCUACCUGGGUUCAUAUUUAUUCACCUCAUGAGUUACCUUUGAACUGCAGUUCUAAAAGAUCUACCGACCGCAAAAACAGCAGAGCGCUCGCUGUUUGGCGGCCGUAUCAGUGAUCAGUGCGUCUGAGGACAAGGUGAUGCGCGCAGCGCCCCGCUCCACAGCAUGCAGCGAAACGCAUCAGGCGCAAAUAAAAGACAGAAAACAUUAAAGGAAAUGAGCCGACAUGAACGAUCGCAUGUUAAAUUAGUUUUUGAGGUGGCGACACCUGAUUGUUACUGUGGCCGUGCUCAGGAGGCAGAUCUACCGACCGCGAAAACAGCGGAGCACUCCCUGCUUGGAGGCCGCAUCAGUGAUCUGUGCGUCGGAGGACAAGGUGAAGCGCCCCGCUCCACAACAGCGAUACACAUCAGGCGCAAAUAAAAGACAGAAAACAUUAAAGGAAAUGAACCGACAUGAACGAUCGCGUGUCAGUACCUACGGUCUGGCACAGCGCGUUGCCCCCACCCCCACCCCCCGAGCGCAGGAGCUUGUCACCUGCUGAUAGCAGGCUGCUGUCUUUUCCGAGGGCUGCAUCUUGCCGGUCAUUAUCACGUGACAGCGACUAGUCGACGACAGGCAUAAAAAGUCACUAUAGUGAAGUUGACUAGUUCAUACAACCCCUACUGCUGCUCUCCAGAGUGUGCACGUUCUCUUUGAACUUGAUAGUGUAAUGACCUGGCUGGGGUUGUAAGCCAGGUGCAUUCUGGGUAUUGUGUUAUAUGUGUUUCCUAUCGUUCUGCUAGUUCCUAUGUGCUGAUUUGCGUGUUGUGUGAGUGUUAUGUAAGCCACAGGGAAGGUGAUGUGUGUUCUGUGGAGCGGGUUGAAUUAGCAUGGUUAACUGACACCGUGACUCUGUGUGGUAGGAGCGUGAUAGAGGAUCGUGUCUGUAGUGUUACAAAGCGUUGAAGAAAAAGCCUAAUAAAGGUCUGUGUGAAGUCUAUUGCCUCCUGCUGGUUGAUUUGGGGACUAUAAUCCUGCCGCUGAGACUCUCAUACUUGCUUGUUACCACAUUCCACCCAGCCACAAUAAGAGACCGGCCAUUAUUCACCUCCGCUGACUCCAACACCGGCCACAAUUGGAGACCCGGCCAAAAUUGGAGACCCGGCCUUUAAUUGAAUACCGGCCUGUAUUAGAGGAUUUACGGUAUGUAUACAUGUGUACACCUCUGGGUGCACUGGUUUCUUCCUAGUCCAAAAACAUGAAUACUACAAUAAAACUGAGCUACUGAUACUAGGAAAACGUCGUCAAAUUUAGAAAGUUGAUAUUCAAUCCGCCAAAGUAGCCAUUUAAAAAGCCAAGAUGGCCACAAUCAUCCUGCUACACAGGCGGUUAUGCUCCCAAGAACUGGACCUCCACUACCAUGAGACUUUCUCCCUUCAAGGGUUCUCUGGGGAACCAAACCCGCAUCUACUGUUUCCCAGUACUGAAGGCAUCAUAUUCUGGUUUAUCUCAGUAACUUGAUCUUUCUACAAACAUGGGUAUGAGAUUAACUCAGACCUAAACUCCAACUCUGCAACUCAAGGGCCAGUAACAAUGGCAGUGGGAUUCAAUACAGGUACGACUGUUCCACGCCAAACUCCCACUCACCUUUCUCCUACAGUUAGGUAAAUACACCUGGUAGGUCAUUAUACGUGUAGGUCCUGUGUCACACUGGUGACCUUUUGACGUCUCUUUUGCAUUAAAUACAGUUUGAUAGCAGGGGUUUGAUGAACAACUUCUAUGACACCGUGAUACUUUGCAGACACUUUAUUAUUACACUUUAUUACAUAAAUUUCAUGGUUACUCAAAAUAGUACUCUUGCACUAAAACUAGUGCCAUAACAAAUAUAAUGUAGCCCACAAGUGACAGCUUAGCUAAACAUCUAUAGCAUGCAGUUAAGGAAAACUUAAAUUCAGACCUCCUAUCAAAGUAAGAACAGAUGAAUAAACAUUGGUUCAAAGUCAGAAAUAUAAUUUUUUUAAUGAGAACAGAAAGAACAGCAUUCAAGGGCCCUGAGCGCCACUGUGUUUAUGCGUUCGUAUUCUGGGAAUGUCGUGUGGUGCAUUGCAAGCUUUUCUUAGGGCACAAAAAUACCUUCUUGUCAGGAGCCAAAGUAAUCAGUCAGUUUGGCUAAUGUCUCUGGGAGCAAAAAGACUUCCUGUUUCAUGGUAAGGGAAUUAGCAAUAAGGUUAUAGUGACAUUUACAUGUAUUUAGAAGGGUUACAAUUUAGUUUAGGUGUUUGCAUCCAGUCCUGCAUUAAGCAUCAGAAUGUGGGCACAUUUUAAUCUUGUAAUUGUGAAUUUUAAAAGUUCUAUUCACUGUCUCGCUCAACUGAGAUGUGCUUUCAGAAAGUGAAUCAGAUGUAUUCACGCACUUACUCCAUUCAAACAGGAUGACGUUGGCAAAGACUAAAGCUCUUGGUACCUUUAAAUCCUCAUUCAUCUUUAGACCACUGACCACUUUGUAGGUUAAAACCUUUGAAAGGCGUUUGUUCGAUGAUAAUCAUCCUCAACUGGCACCUUUAUUCCAAAAGAGCUACUGUUCAGGGGCAAAUGAAAAUAUUUCCUAACUAUUUUAGUGCACAUAAAAAAAUACACGAUAGAUUAAUGCCGGUAUCUAGUGCCGUGGUGAGGUGAGGAAUCUUUGUGGAAAGUAACAAAACAAAGCAACAUGAACACAUAUCUUACACACAUAUACACUCAGAAUGUCAAAGAUGUCCAUGAGUAAAACAAGUCACUUCCUGUUCUCAGUGGGCGGGGCUAGGUGAUGUAGAAACACAGACAAGAUGACAAAUGAAGUGGCAUCAAACAUGUACGGUUUGGUGCAAAUUAUGUGUGGCUAAACCUCAAAUCUCAAGCUUUAAGUACUGUGCAUAAUGAGUUUAAGGCUAAGAUGUAAACAUUUCCAGGACAAGUUUAUUAAAAUAUGUGUAAAAUACCAAAACUGCGUUCCUGAUCCAGAAAGUCACAAGUGCUGUUGUGUUUUUUAUGCUGGACUGGAAUGAAUGCAGCUUAACUCUGAAAUCUGUAUGCAACCAUUUUUAGGGGCUGUUUUUAAGGCAGCAAUGUGUAAUUUUCUCUAUUCAGUUCCAAGCCUCUAAAAAAAAGAGUAGAAAAUCACACACCUUCAUCGAUCUAGAACAAAAGUGUGUGGGUUUAAGGGGGGAUGUUCAGGGUCUCAUUAAGGCCUUUGACAUCAGAAUAAAGAAUGUUUGCAAUUCCUAAUUAAAACCUUAAGAUAACAAAUGUAAUAGAUAAACUGUAGGAAAAAAUAGGCUGUUUUCCAUUUUGUGUAUAAUUUCUGUUGCUGUAAUCUGUGCAUUUACUUCACUUCUUAUUAAUAAUGAUUUAAUACUCAGGCUAUUUGAUAGGCAUCACCUGAUUCUUCUUCUACUCAUUGUUUUCUCUCUAAAAUACCAAAAAACAUUUAGUUCACUUCAUACCUGACAUUAAUAAUUGUGUUUGAGUAAAAUUCUAAAACGAAUUCAUGAAAGUAUUACAGGAAAGUUGGAUCAUUUGGAGAGUGAAAUCUGAAUUAAUUUUACUCAGACUUAAUUACCUAAGUUUUUACAAAUACUGGUUAAAAGGAAGGAAGGAAUUGAAUCGUUGUAGGUUUUAGUUAACCAUUUUGCUUCUUUCAUGAGUCAAGCUCUUUCACUUCACCCGCUGUUCUCAUACUGAGAUGUGGCAUUCAUUAAAUUAGAUUAACAUCAUUUCAAUUAGCAGCAUGUGCUGCAGCUGCACUCAGUAGUUUAGAACAUACAAAAGGUUAGCGUGUGUGUGCACUUUUCAAUAUUUGUAUAUGAGUAUGAGAACAAGUUAAAUACUAAAAAAGCUUGGCAUGUCGGCCAUAUUGUUUUGGCAGCCAUGGGUUUUUCUUUAAAAUAAAUGCUCAUGAGGAAAACAUAAGUUGCUUUUUCACAUUAAGAAAUUAAAACAAAGACAUGAAAAAUAACAAAAUUACAAGUGAAAUGUAAAUUAAUCAGCAUAAAUACUCUUGCUGAAAUUAUGUCAUAUAAGUCCUGAUCUUUUCAAGAAGAACUACAUUUUAUACUUUUAACUGGCACCAUGAAAAUAUUUGUUUGGACCAUAACAAAUGACAUAAUUUUGCCAAAUAAACCCAGCUUCAUUUCAAACUACGUUUGAUAUUGACAUGUUGUAAAAACAAAGCAAGGAAGAAAACAUAAAUACAGUUCUAUUCAGAACGCCAUGUGAAGAAUAAAAAAUAAAUCCAAUGGAAUUUAUGUUGUAAACAUUCAAAAAAUCUCUUGAAAUACUAUGUUUGCUAUUUUUUCAAAACAUGCUGAUGCAGAAUGAUGCAUAUUUAUGAGCAACAGUAUGUUUUGUGAAUGACCUGUUCAGCAAGCGCGCCUGGUUUUCUGAAUUGUACUAAAAGCUUCCAUAAAAGCAAUUUUACUAAGAGAAAAAUAGAACUAUAACUGUCAUCAGGGUCGUGUGCAUGUCUAAUAAAAUUUUCUUAGAUACAAUGCCACAUUUAAAUAUUUACAAUAAAUAGCAGGAUUGGCAGCAUACACAACAGUUACAAACACAGUGAAGAACCACAUCUGAGGAACCUAAGCAGAAGAGUGGCACCUGUGCCGCUAGGUUACCUAAGAAGAUGAAUGAGGAGGAGGCAGCGCAGAGUACUCCUCGUUGUCAGAGUCGCUGCUGUCCUCAACAUUCCUCUCCUGGUCGCUGCCUUCGGUACUCAGCUGGUCAAAACCCUGACGACUGUAUCCCUUGUUAGAUGCAAAGAAUUUUCCCAGGUUCAGGGAACCCACAGUUUUACCUGAACAGAGAGAAAACCGUGUUAGUGCCUGUGAGCUUCAGGGUGGCUUUCACAGGCACCCGUUUAGCUUCAAUCAGCUCUCCUAAGGUUCUUCAAACUUUCUUUUUAUUGAUAGUUUUAUGUUAGAAAGAAGCAAGAAAAAGGAACAAACAUAUAUACCUCACUAAACCAGUGUACAGAGCAUCUAAAACAAGUCACAACAUGUUGUUAGGGCCUCACAGCCACUUAAGGUACAGUUACAUACGGGAGAAGGUGAAAAUCUUUAUGCGUUUGCUUUGACAUUACAGUCUUGAAAUACUAUGAGUCUGAGUCAGAUACAGGUUCCAUUUUUUCCAGUAUUUCUGACAUUCAUCAGUUGCAAGUCUUAGUGAGAAAGUCAGUCUCUCCAUCACAUAUAUUUCAUUAAUAAUGUCAAUCCAGUCCAGCAGUGAUGGAGGCUGUUCCAUGUUGUUGCCAUUUGUGGAUAAUUGCUCUCACUGUGGUUCGCUGGAGUCCCAAAGCUUUAGAAAUGACUUUAUAACCUUUACCAGACUGAUAAAUCUCAGUUACUUUUGUUCUCAUUUGUUCUUGAAUUUCUUUGGAUCUUGGCAUGAUGUCUAGCUUUUGAGGUGCUUUUGGUCUACUUCUCUGUGUCAGGCAGCUCAUGUUUAAGUGAUUUCUUGAUUGAAACAGGUGUGGCGGUAACCAGGCUUGGGGGUGGCUACAGAAAUUGAACUCAGGUGUGAAACACCACAGUUUGGUGAUUUUUUAACAAGGGGGGCAAUUACUUUUUCACCCAGUAAAUUAUGCUGCUUCCUGCCUCGCCCUCUCCUAAGGCUCGGACACAGCAAUCACAUCUCUAAGCCCCGCUCUCAAUUGAGUUAUAGACUGGACUUUAGGCCCGGCUCACAUGGCAGAAUAAUUGUGAAGAUUUUUUAACCGAGCCAGAUUAAUGUGUUAACAUGCAUUUCAAAAAAAUGAUGUCAGUCAAUUUAGGGCGAUGGUUUGGUUUACUGAUGCACAUGUAAAUACACCGAAGCUGUUUUUACAAAACAGUGCAGUCAAUUUGACUCAACACUGAUGCGGCAUCAGGGAGCCUUAGGUUGUUUAUAAGAAGUCAGACCGUGGCGUUGUGCAAUCAGGUCUUUUUCACAAAAGAUUACGCAGUGGUGGCAUAAAGGGGUAUAGAGGUGGUCUCUGCACUACUGCAGACAUCCGUUUAUUUUGGACAUAACUUGCUUUUUAUCGUGAUCAAAGCCGCACUCAUGCCUAAAGGUGUCUGUCCUCCACAGUCCCCGUGCAGUCUCGUGAUCAUGACACCUCCCUCUGUUGCGACAAGGCGCAUCACCGUUUAUGAGACAGACAAUUACCACAAUAUUACUACCAAGUGAGGCAGAACGAAUGCUGCAAAAUUUGCCAGUAAUGUUACGCUGAUUUGCCGGCACAGUGUGUCUUGUAAAAAGGGCUCGAGUGACUCUUGAAUAUUAACAGUUAAACAAACAAUUUCACAUCCAAACAUUAACUGCAUGGAGCUGCAACACAAGCCCAUAUCAUCAGACCUCCAUAUCCUUGCUUCCCUGUUGCUAGUAGAUAUUUUUGCUAAGACCCACUGGUAAUCAGUAAGGGAUGAUAAUAGUUACUGGUGUUAAAAGUCACCAUAGUUAUUUUUUUAACUUAAAUGAUCUUUAUACGUAUAAAUUAUGUUGCUAAUUAGAUGUCAUACAUACUGUUUUUCCUCCAGCACAUAAAGACUCCCAGGAAGACAACAAGCAGUAGAGGAAUAAGAAGCAAGGUGGUGAUUAUGGCAGGAAGCACACCCUUCUCCUUGUUUAACAUUGGUCUGCUUUUCCUCUCUUCCAUUUCCACCAAUGGGUGAUCUUUCUGUCCAACAAUUUGCUUCUCCUGGACCAAAGCUGGCUUUGAAAUGUUGAGAUCUUGCUUCAUCUUGCUCUGAACCAAAGACUCCAUUUC